RNAcentral lists this ribosomal RNA (253 nucleotides) under uncultured bacterium. RNAcentral's name for it is "partial 16S ribosomal RNA". It matches the Rfam family "Bacterial small subunit ribosomal RNA", at positions 524 to 776 of the family's 1533-position model. The record is from RNAcentral.
UACGUAGGGUGCAAGCGUUGUCCGGAAUUAUUGGGCGUAAAGAGCUCGUAGGCGGCUUGUCGCGUCGACUGUGAAAACCCGCAGCUCAACUGCGGGCCUGCAGUCGAUACGGGCAGGCUAGAGUUCGGUAGGGGAGACUGGAAUUCCUGGUGUAGCGGUGAAAUGCGCAGAUAUCAGGAAGAACACCUAUGGCGAAGGCAGCUCUCUGGGACGGUACUGACGCUGAGACGCGAAAGCGUGGGGAGCGAACAGG